Molecule: ribosomal RNA, 937 nt
Filed under: Rhizocarpon polycarpum
Lineage: Eukaryota; Fungi; Ascomycota; Lecanoromycetes; Rhizocarpales; Rhizocarpaceae
Description: SSU rRNA
Rfam family: Bacterial small subunit ribosomal RNA
Source: RNAcentral
AGGAAUAUUGGUCAAUAGCCUAACGGCUGAACCAGCAACUUGGAAGAAUGAAUGGCAAUAGCCACUUACAUUAAAAAAAGAUUUUUUUUUUAAAUCUAUAGUGUGAAAUCGACUUUGUCGAAUAAAGUUCUGGAUAGAAUAUUGAUAAUGACAUUUUCUGUUUAUUUGUCUUGACCAAAUUACGUGCCAGCAGUCGCGGUAAUACGUAAAAGACUAGUGUUAUUCAUCUUUAAUAGGUUUAAAGGGUACUUAGACGGUAAAUCAAGCCAAGAUAGAAAAGGUACUAAUUUACUUGAGUAUUAUGUGAGAUGAAAAUAUGGCAGUAUUCUUGAGAGAAGAGAUGAAAUUCUGUCAUCCGUUGAGGUUACGGGUAAAAGCGAAAGCGACCAUCUAUGUAAAUACUGACGUUGAAGGACGAAGGCCUACGGUAAUUAACAGGAUUAGAUACCCAAGUAUUCGUGGCAGACAAUGAUGAAUGUCAUAGACUAGAGGUAAAAUUAAGUUUAUAAAUAUAGACUGAAAAUUUAGUCUAUAAAUGAAAGUGUAAGCAUUCCACCUCAAGAGUAAUUUGGCAACAUUGGAACUGAAAUCAUUAGACCGUUUCUGAAACCAGUAGUGAAGUAUGUUAUUUAAUUUGAUGAUCCGCAAAAAACCUUACCACAAUUUGUAUAUUUAGAUAAUAUUUACAAGCGUUGCACGGCUGUCUUCAGUUAAUGUCGUGAGAUUUUGGUUAGUUCCAUUAAAUUAACGUAAACCCUUACUUUAUUUUUAUAUAAAGUAGUUUCCCGCUAUAUUGGAUAUGACAAUAGGGACUAAGAUAAGUCAUCAUGGCCUGAAUAUUGUGGGCUAUAGACGUGCCACCAGAACCUCACAAAGGGAUGCAAAAUUGCGAAAUUGAGCUAAUCCUCCAAAAUAGGUUUUACAUGGAUUGUAGUCU